UUGUUUUGGCAACAUAUAUACUAAUAUUAGAACAGUACAGAGAGGACCAGCAUGAAUCUUGUGCAAGGAUUGCAUGAAAAUUCAUAGGAGUUCCACAUUUUU
Small nuclear RNA from Diceros bicornis minor, 102 nucleotides. The record is from RefSeq and is a predicted model, not a curated record. Lineage: Eukaryota; Metazoa; Chordata; Mammalia; Perissodactyla; Rhinocerotidae.